AUUGAACGCUGGCGGCAGGCCUAACACAUGCAAGUCGAACGGUAACAGAAAGCAGCUUGCUGCUUUUCUGACGAGUGGCGGACGGGUGAGUAAUGUCUGGGAAACUGCCUGAUGGAGGGGGAUAACUACUGGAAACGGUAGCUACUACCGCAUAACGUCGCAAGACCAAGAGGGGGACCUUCGGGCCUCUUGCCAUCGGAUGUGCCCAGAUGGGUUUAGCUAGUAGGUGGGGUAACGGCUCACCUAGGCGACGAUCCCUAGCUGGUCUGAGAGGAUGACCAGCCACACUGGAACUGAGACACGGUCCAGACUCCUACGGGAGGCAGCAGUGGGGAAUAUUGCACAAUGGGCGCAAGCCUGAUGCAGCCAUGCCGCGUGUAUGAAGAAGGCCUUCGGGUUGUAAAGUACUUUCAGCGGGGAGGAAGGGAGUAAAGUUAAUACCUUUGCUCAUUGACGUUACCCGCAGAAGAAGCACCGGCUAACUCCGUG
Molecule: ribosomal RNA, 489 nt
Filed under: uncultured bacterium
Lineage: Bacteria
Description: partial 16S ribosomal RNA
Rfam family: Bacterial small subunit ribosomal RNA
Source: RNAcentral